AUGAACGCUGGCGGCGUGCCUCAUACCUGCCAGUCGAGCGAACAGACGAGGAGCUUGCUCCUCUGACGUUAGCGGCGGACGGGUGAGUAACACGUGGAUAACCUACCUAUAAGACUGGGAUAACUUCGGGAAACCGGAGCUAAUACCGGAUAAUAUAUUGAACCGCAUGGUUCAAUAGUGAAAGACGGUUUUGCUGUCACUUAUAGAUGGAUCCGCGCCGCAUUAGCUAGUUGGUAAGGUAACGGCUUACCAAGGCGACGAUGCGUAGCCGACCUGAGAGGGUGAUCGGCCACACUGGAACUGAGACACGGUCCAGACUCCUACGGGAGGCAGCAGUAGGGAAUCUUCCGCAAUGGGCGAAAGCCUGACGGAGCAACGCCGCGUGAGUGAUGAAGGUCUUCGGAUCGUAAAACUCUGUUAUUAGGGAAGAACAAAUGUGUAAGUAACUAUGCACGUCUUGACGGUACCUAAUCAGAAAGCCACGGCUAACUACGUG
RNAcentral lists this ribosomal RNA (496 nucleotides) under uncultured bacterium. Its description in RNAcentral is "partial 16S ribosomal RNA". It matches the Rfam family "Bacterial small subunit ribosomal RNA", at positions 29 to 507 of the family's 1533-position model. The record is from RNAcentral.